AUCCUUCAGGUUCUGUCAUGUGAUGAGUGGGUCUUCAUGCGCCUGCGUGAGAUGUGCCGUCCCGAAUUGUUACGACGGGGCACAGUACCCUUCUGAU
This 97-nucleotide small nucleolar RNA is filed under the name Podarcis lilfordi (Lilford's wall lizard). It matches the Rfam family "Small nucleolar RNA U13". Lineage: Eukaryota; Metazoa; Chordata; Lepidosauria; Squamata; Lacertidae. The record is from RNAcentral.